RNAcentral lists this ribosomal RNA (433 nucleotides) under uncultured bacterium. RNAcentral's name for it is "partial 16S ribosomal RNA". It matches the Rfam family "Bacterial small subunit ribosomal RNA", at positions 29 to 507 of the family's 1533-position model. The record is from RNAcentral.
AACGAACGCUGGCGGCAUGCCUAACACAUGCAAGUCGAACGAUGCCUUCGGGCAUAGUGGCGCACGGGUGCGUAACGCGUGGGAAUCUGCCUUUCGGUUCGGAAUAACUCAGGGAAACUUGAGCUAAUACCGGAUAACGUCGCAAGACCAAAGAUUUAUCACCGAAGGAUGAGCCCGCGUAGGAUUAGCUAGUUGGUGAGGUAAAGGCUCACCAAGGCGACGAUCCUUAGCUGGUCUGAGAGGAUGAUCAGCCACACUGGGACUGAGACACGGCCCAGACUCCUACGGGAGGCAGCAGUGGGGAAUAUUGGACAAUGGGCGAAAGCCUGAUCCAGCAAUGCCGCGUGAGUGAUGAAGGCCUUAGGGUUGUAAAGCUCUUUUACCCGGGAAGAUAAUGACGGUACCGGGAGAAUAAGCCCCGGCUAACUCCGUG